AACCUGCCUGUAAGACUGGGAUAACUCCGGGAAACCGGGGCUAAUACCGGAUGGUUGUUUGAACCGCAUGGUUCAAACAUAAAAGGUGGCUUCGGCUACCACUUACAGAUGGACCCGCGGCGCAUUAGCUAGUUGGUGAGGUAAUGGCUCACCAAGGCAACGAUGCGUAGCCGACCUGAGAGGGUGAUCGGCCACACUGGGACUGAGACACGGCCCAGACUCCUACGGGAGGCAGCAGUAGGGAAUCUUCCGCAAUGGACGAAAGUCUGACGGAGCAACGCCGCGUGAGUGAUGAAGGUUUUCGGAUCGUAAAGCUCUGUUGUUAGGGAAGAACAAGUACCGUUCGAAUAGGGCGGUACCUUGACGGUACCUAACCAGAAAGCCACGGCUAACUACGUGCCAGCAGCCGCGGUAAUACGUAGGUGGCAAGCGUUGUCCGGAAUUAUUGGGCGUAAAGGGCUCGCAGGCGGUUUCUUAAGUCUGAUGUGAAAGCCCCCGGCUCAACCGGGGAGGGUCAUUGGAAACUGGGGAACUUGAGUGCAGAAGAGGAGAGUGGAAUUCCACGUGUAGCGGUGAAAUGCGUAGAGAUGUGGAGGAACACCAGUGGCGAAGGCGACUCUCUGGUCUGUAACUGACGCUGAGGAGCGAAAGCGUGGGGAGCGAACAGGAUUAGAUACCCUGGUAGUCCACGCCGUAAACGAUGAGUG
This 707-nucleotide ribosomal RNA is filed under the name Listeria monocytogenes. Its description in RNAcentral is "bacterial SSU rRNA". It matches the Rfam family "Bacterial small subunit ribosomal RNA", at positions 123 to 815 of the family's 1533-position model. Lineage: Bacteria; Bacillati; Bacillota; Bacilli; Caryophanales; Listeriaceae. The record is from RNAcentral.